AUUGAACGCUGGCGGCAUGCCUUACACAUGCAAGUCGAACGGUAACGGGCUUUCGGGUGCCGUGGCGUGGCGGACGGGUGAGUAAUACAUCGUAACGUGCCCGAUCGUGGGGGAUAACGAGGCGACAGCUUUUCUAAUACACCAUACGAUGUACGGUUGGAAGGAGGGGGCGGCAAGGCCUUGCUCGGGCGGCGCGUCCGAUGGCCGGUUAUGUGGUUGGUGGGAUAAAAGCUUACCAAGACGACGUACUGGAGCUGGGCUGAGAGGAUGACCAGCCACCCUGGGAGGGAGGAACGGCCCAGACUCCUACGAGAGGCAGCAGUGGGGAAUUUUGGACAACGGGGGGAAGCCUGAUCCAGCCAUGCCGCGUGCAGGAUGAAGGCCUCCGGGUUGUAAACUGCUGUUGUACGGAACGAAAAGCAUUCUUUUAAUACAGGAGGGUAAUGACGGUACCGGAAGAAUAAGCACCGGCUAACUACGUG
Molecule: ribosomal RNA, 482 nt
Filed under: uncultured bacterium
Lineage: Bacteria
Description: partial 16S ribosomal RNA
Rfam family: Bacterial small subunit ribosomal RNA
Source: RNAcentral